Molecule: long non-coding RNA, 156 nt
Organism: Pygocentrus nattereri (red-bellied piranha)
Lineage: Eukaryota; Metazoa; Chordata; Actinopteri; Characiformes; Serrasalmidae
Exons: 3
Source: RefSeq, a predicted model, not a curated record
AGUUGAAGCUCCAACACAAGACCAUCUGUGAGGGGCUGGAGUCUGAGUACUGGUGGGUGCUCAGCAACGAAUUUUAUCAUUUGUUCCCGGAGCUUCCUCCUCAGCACUUCGGUACUGUGGCUGCUGUGGCCUGCAUCAAGCGCAUUGGAACAUCGA